This 467-nucleotide ribosomal RNA is filed under the name uncultured bacterium. RNAcentral describes it as "partial 16S ribosomal RNA". It matches the Rfam family "Bacterial small subunit ribosomal RNA", at positions 28 to 507 of the family's 1533-position model. The record is from RNAcentral.
GACGAACGCUGGCGGCGUGCUUAACACAUGCAAGUCGAACGGAAAGGCCCUGCUUUUGUGGGGUGCUCGAGUGGCGAACGGGUGAGUAACACGUGAGUAACCUGCCCUUGACUUUGGGAUAACUUCAGGAAACUGGGGCUAAUACCGGAUAGGAGCUCCUGCUGCAUGGUGGGGGUUGGAAAGUUUCGGCGGUUGGGGAUGGACUCGCGGCUUAUCAGCUUGUUGGUGGGGUAGUGGCUUACCAAGGCUUUGACGGGUAGCCGGCCUGAGAGGGUGACCGGCCACAUUGGGACGGAGAUACGGCCCAGACUCCUACGGGAGGCAGCAGUGGGGAAUAUUGAACAAUGGGCGGAAGCCUGAUGCAGCAACGCCGCGUGCGGGAUGACGGCCUUCGGGUUGUAAACCGCUUUCGCUGUGACGAAGCGUGAGUGACGGUAAUGGGUAAAGAAGCACCGGCUAACUACGUG